CCCUUAGAUGAUCUGGGCCGCACGCGCGCUACAAUGAUAAAGACAAAAAGUAUACAACCUCUUUUGAGAGAAAUGGGUAAUCAAAAAACUUUAUCGUGACUGGGAUUGACACCUGAAAUUAGUGUCAUGAACGAGGAAUUCCUAGUAAACGCAAGUCAUUAACUUGCAUUGAUUGAGUCCCUGCCCUUUGUACACACCGCCCGUCGCUACUAUCGAUGAAUGGUUUAGUGAGUUAUUUUAUUUCGCGAACUUGAUCAUUUAGAGAAAGUAUAAGUCGUAACA
RNAcentral lists this ribosomal RNA (282 nucleotides) under uncultured eukaryote. Its description in RNAcentral is "partial 18S ribosomal RNA". It matches the Rfam family "Eukaryotic small subunit ribosomal RNA", at positions 1470 to 1796 of the family's 1831-position model. The record is from RNAcentral.